This is a long non-coding RNA of Ornithorhynchus anatinus (platypus), 813 nucleotides long. RefSeq lists it as uncharacterized. The transcript is spliced from 3 exons. The record is from RefSeq and is a predicted model, not a curated record. NCBI's taxonomy places the organism in Eukaryota, Metazoa, Chordata, Mammalia, Monotremata, Ornithorhynchidae.
UCCAAAGUCAAUGCAUUUACUUUCCAGAAGAUUCUGCAGGGAAGCCACUCACCAGCCUACAUUUCGGAUUCGGAUUUCAGUUGUUGCCAUGACCUCCCUGCUUAUGUCCCUGAGUUGCUGAAAGACCACUGGGGAGUCCAACACACAUCCUGCCCUGGGGACACUCUAAGGUUGUUCUGCGACCCUACCCCACCCCGAGGAGAGUGUGCCCGGAGAGGAGGUGAAAUUCAAUUUUGUCACUAUACUACUUGCUAGCCGCUUUGGUUGAAAGGGAAAUGUUUAGCCGGAGAAAGAGUUGCAAUUAGGGAGUGAAAUGUGGCUUUUAGAUCCUCCUUAGAUUUCUGGGCAUUCUAUUAAAAUGAACAAUUGAGAGUUCCCUCUUUAUAUUUCUUAGAAUGAAGUCCUUUUACCGUCUCCAAACAAAGGUCUACACAAGUACCAGGGCAAGUCGAAUAUGUAAAUCUUACAUGUAGAUGCUUAGAUAAGAAGAGUUUCUUUGCAAGCACUUUCAAAAUGCUGCAGUCAAUUCUCAGUCUUUUACUCUAUAUGCCAGAAUGAAAGCAAGUAUGUGAACAGGCUAAAAUAAACACCUCUGUAUAGUAUUGUAGGGUUGGAAAUUCUGGAAAGGUCAUUUUAAGCAGUCACUGAUUCUUGCUUCUCUCUGCAAAUGGAUCACUUCGGACGACUGUUGGACUUGAACAGAGUGAGAGUGGAAUACUGGCUUGCAAAUUCUCAAUGUCCCUUUGAUUUUUCUACCCGUUAAACUGAUGGUUUGGCUGUCAUGAGAGUUGUUUUGUUUCUGUGGCAAUAAAU